GAUGAGGUGUGAUUGGCUAUGUCUGGUGCAUCUAUACAUUUUCGGACGUUCGUUCAUUGCUGGGUGUGGGUAUGUGAACGGUCGGGAGGCAUGAAUCAACACUUAUCCUAGACCAAGGCUACGGUUGUUGGUCUUGCGCCUCGUGCUCCUGGUCAAAGAGCACGCUCUUGUACUUCAACUUUAGCGUAGAGUUCCGUGAAGGUUUUAUGGAAGAUUGAGCUUAUGACUACAUGAUCACUUUACUACUUAUGCAAUUGUAUUGGUGCUUGAUAUAGAAAGUAGACGCCAUGUCUUUUGCUUAUUUACUCGUAUUUUUAUGGUCUAAUGUUAAAAUUUGACAAGCCUC
RNAcentral lists this long non-coding RNA (346 nucleotides) under Setaria viridis. RNAcentral describes it as "long non-coding RNA (SVIR_LNC011191)". Lineage: Eukaryota; Viridiplantae; Streptophyta; Magnoliopsida; Poales; Poaceae. The record is from RNAcentral.